Molecule: long non-coding RNA, 1509 nt
Organism: Populus euphratica (Euphrates poplar)
Lineage: Eukaryota; Viridiplantae; Streptophyta; Magnoliopsida; Malpighiales; Salicaceae
Exons: 3
Source: RefSeq, a predicted model, not a curated record
AUUGGCUUAUAAGUCCCAAAUUAAAAAACAAAUGUUAGGUAAACACUAUAGAUUGUUAACGGUUUCAAUGUGGAUUUAAGCAGUAUUUAUUGUGAGAAACUUCGUUUAAUUUCAUAAAAUUCAAUGCAUUUUGCUUCUCAUCUCAUGCUGUGUGAAUGAACACAAGGAAAUUUUAAAUCCAACACCUUUUUGUGAACAAAAGUGAGAGGGGAGAGAAGAACAUGAUAGGCAAGAGAAGAAGGGGAGAAGGGAGGUACAUCAGGAAAGGGUAAGUUAUAGAGAGGAGGCAUAUCUGUUGAAUCGCUGGUUGGAGAGAUGGUGGUGCUGGCGGUGUUCGAUCCACAUCCUUUUUCUAACCCGCACCAACAAAAGAAAGAGAAGAGAUGGAGGCGCUGGGUAGAUAAAAGGAAAAUAAGAGAAGGGAGCCACGUCUAAGAAGAAAAUGGUGCAGAGAGAGGACUUACCCUCGCGUCGUCGUCGAUGAUGGCCUUGCCUGCGAUGCUUCUAUGCUGGAGCGGGGGAUGUCGAGUAUCAAAAAAGGCAUUCCUUGUUCUAGGAUUGAUAAUGAAAGUAACAUUAUUAGGAUUGAUAAUUUUUUUCUUUGUGAUCUCACAGUCGAUAUGCCAUUCCUUUCUUUUCGUACCCUUUUCACAAGUAAUUUCCUACUAAUGUUCUAGGCAAGAGCCUUCGUAGUUUUAUUUUUUAAAAAAUACACAGGCUUUUUUUCAGGUUGAUUACAUCAUUUGUGUAUCCUACGGUUCUUAGAUUGCUGAUGUUGGUUCUGGCUUCAUGCCAUUUCUAUAAGGUAUGCGAACAAUGUUGCUCUUCUGGUUUGCCUUUCUUGAGCUCUCAAUACAUUUGAUCACUGCUUUUGCUUCAAAAAGGUAUGUAUGUGUAGGUAGGGUUCAAGAUAAGGCAGGCUUUCAUUAGAUUCUACAAGCUCUCUCCUCUUUGCUAGGACAUGUACCUCCACACAAAAUCCCCCUUUGAAUUUUUCAGUUCUCUAGCAAGUUGAUCUCUUCCUUGUGCUCUUUCUACGUAUAUACAUGCCCCAUUUUUCUAUCAUUUUUCUUUUGGUUCUUCCCUGUAAUGCUGUUUGGCUCUUUGUAUUUUUGUUUUUAUAGCUGUAGAUUAUACUUCUGCGCUGUUGUGUUGAUAGCUUUGUUUGGUGCUUAUACAUUUGCGUAGAUAUUGUCAUGCCUUCUAGAUUGUUCUAAUGAUUUUGAUGAUUUGUUAUGUGUUGAGUGUGAUGCUCUCUUUCAAUUUGAUGUUGAUUGGAUUCUUCACAUAUUAGAUCAUAUACAACUAACUGUUUUUAUGUCUUUCAAUAACCUGGUAAUUUGUUUUGUUUUCCAGGUUCUGUUAUUCCACAGGAUUUCCCAAACCUUUUGUCCAGUGAUUUAUGAUAAAGUAGGGCAAUAUUGUGUUGUCUUCAUUCCCAUCACAAGAUACCGAAGUGAAAGUCGCCAUGCUGCAAGAACUGUCCACGCCUUCCGUGGAGGAAAUUGG